GAUGAACGCUAGCGGCAGGCCUAAUACAUGCAAGUCGAACGGUAAAUAUUAUAGCAAUAUAGUAUGAGAGUGACGCACGGGUGCGUAACACGUAUGCAACCUACCCUUUACAGGAGUAUAGCUCGGGGAAACUCGAAUUAACCCUUCAUAGUAUAAUUGAAUGGCAUCAUUUGGUUAUUAAAUCUUCGGAGGUAAAGGAU
This 200-nucleotide ribosomal RNA is filed under the name uncultured bacterium. RNAcentral's name for it is "partial 16S ribosomal RNA". It matches the Rfam family "Bacterial small subunit ribosomal RNA", at positions 28 to 226 of the family's 1533-position model. The record is from RNAcentral.